AAUAGCGUAUAUGUAUGUUGUUGCGGUUGAAAAGCUCGUAGUUGGACUUCUGGCGGCCCAGACCGGUCCGCCCUGUGCGAGCACUGGUCAGGGCCGUCGUUCUGUCGACGGUGCGCGUUGGUCUUAACUGCCUGGCGCGCUCUCUGUCGGCGAUGUUACUUUGAGGAAAUCAGAGUGCUCAAAGCAAGCGUUCGCUCGUGACUUCACUAGCAUGGAAUAACACAGAUGGGCUCUUUUUCGCAACGUUGGUCUGCGUCAAUUGAGCAACGAUCGAUAGAGACGGUCGGGGGCAUUCGUAUUGCGCAGUUAGAGGUGAAAUUCUCCGAUCUGCGCAAGACGCACUAAUGCGAAAGCAGUUGCCAAGGACGUCCUCUUAUGAUCAAGAGCGAAAGUCGGGGGAUCAAAGAUGAUUAGAUACCGUCGUAGUCCCGACCAUAAAUGAUGCCGACUGAGCGUCGGCGACUCGGCUCUUAGCCGGACGUCGGCGCUCUUAGAGAAAUUAAAGUCUAUGGGCUCCGGGGGUAGUAUGGUCGCAAGUCUGAAACUUGAAGGAAUUGACGGAAGGGCACCACAAGGCGUGGAUGUUGCGGCUUAAUUUGACUCAACACGGGAAAGCUUACUAGGUUUGGACACUUGAAUGAGGGACAUAUUGAAGCUCUUACCUUUUUUUGUGGAUGGUGGUGCAUGGUCGUUCUCAGCCCGUGGGUUGACCUGUCAGGUUUACUCCGGUAACGCGCGAGACCUCGGUUUGCUAAAUAGACGCGGCUGUUUCGGCACCCGCGCUCUUCUUAGAGAAAGACUCGGCGAGAGUCGAGGGAAGUCGAGGCAAUAACAGAUCUGUGAUGCCCUUAGUUAUCCUAGGUCGCACGCGCCAUACAAUGUGGCGCACAACGAGUCUCCUUGGCCGACAGGAGCUGGGCAAUCUGGCARAGCGCUACGUGACUGGGCUAGACUUUUGUAAUUGUUGGUCUUGAACGAGGAAUGCCUAGUAAUCGCAGGUCAUCAUCCUGAGAUGAUUCGGUCCCUGCCCUUUGUACACACCGCCCGUCGCUCCAUCCGUGGCAUGCGCCGGUGAAGAGGGGGAGGCAGCGUCG
Molecule: ribosomal RNA, 1094 nt
Filed under: Pseudocodium floridanum
Lineage: Eukaryota; Viridiplantae; Chlorophyta; Ulvophyceae; Bryopsidales; Halimedaceae
Description: bacterial SSU rRNA
Rfam family: Eukaryotic small subunit ribosomal RNA
Source: RNAcentral